This 1051-nucleotide long non-coding RNA is filed under the name Gallus gallus (chicken). Its description in RNAcentral is "lncRNA (ENSGALG00010004858.1)". Lineage: Eukaryota; Metazoa; Chordata; Aves; Galliformes; Phasianidae. The record is from RNAcentral.
CCUCCUAAUAUCUAACCUAAACCUCCCCAUCUCAUUUUAAAACCAUUCCCCCUUGUCCCGUCAUUAAAAAGCAUGCAGCAGGUAUCUGGCUUACUGGUCAUUUUACAAAUGCAAGUUGCAGGAAAGUUGUUACUAAUGGAAGAAGUUACAAGGCUGAAGGCGGUGGAGAGUUCCAUUCAAGAUAUCUCACAAAGAAAAAGAAUAUGACAGACCCAGCAGGGACUGCAACAAAACCACUGACAUCCUUUGGAAAAUGAAGGAGAAGCCGAUGGAGGUGCAGCCUCUAUUUGCUCUUCCGCAGCCUGCAGCACUGCCAACCAGAAGGUACCUCAGAGCCCUUUCCCAAAGCAUGCUCUUUCAGAAUAAGUGAUUUCAUUACGUGAGGAACUGGGCAUGGAUUAUUUUUACAGAAACAGAAAAUGAAUCUUUGUUAUUCUGAAAAUAGCUGCCGAGGUACACUAAGUUCCAUUCAGCUACAGCUCGGAAUAAAAGGAGACUCAUCCCUUCCACAACAUACGUGCCAGUUCUCUCAUUAUUUCUUUUAAAUCACCAUGACAAGCUCAAAUUUUACCUCACUUCUAUUUAACAACAGUAGCAAACUGAUAAAGCUUAAAGUAGCUUAUUAACACUGGCAGCUUAGCAGGCAAACAUCAUAAAAAGGAUUUAAAUCAGAAAUGUAAUCCCUGACCCUUGCUCUUUAGCUGAUAACAGCAGAAGAUAUGAGGCACCAAUAAACCUACAAUAUCAGUCACCAGUGACAAGAAGUGGUACAGGUGUGACAAAAGUCAGCAAAUCUGCCAUCCACAUCAGCUAUCUCAUGUGAUCUCUAUUAAAAGAAAAAGCUUGGUAUCAAAUGUAGAAGGCUGAGCGUACGCCAUCUCUUACGACGCAGGAUUUGAUGAAUAACUGAAGUCUCAAAACUACCAUACUCUUCCCAAUGUUACGUAAAGACGUGCAAGGUAAGCAACAGGAAUCCUCUCACCAGAGAGAAAGUACAGCAGCUGGUAUGUGCUCAUGUGUCCCUCAGGGGGAACGCCAGGAGGAAACGGUG